UUGGAUAACUGUGGCAAUUCUAGAGCUAAUACAUGCGAAAAAGCUCGGACUGAAAGGAACGAGCGCAUUUAUUAGAAUAAAAACCAAUCGGGUCCUAAAAAGCCCGUCGUUUGGUGAAUCUGAAUAACUUUGCUGAUCGCACGGUCCUAGUACCGGCGACGUAUCUUUCAAGUGUCUGCCUUAUCAACUUUCGAUGGUAGGUUAUACGCCUACCAUGGUAGUAACGGGUAACGGAGAAUAAGGGUUCGACUCCGGAGAGGGAGCCUGAGAAACGGCUACCACAUCCAAGGAAGGCAGCAGGCGCGCAAAUUACCCACUUCCAGAACGGAGAGGUAGUGACGAAAAAUAACGAGACAGUCCUCUCUGAGGUCUGUCAUCGGAAUGGGUACAAUUUAAAUCCUUUAACGAGGAUCUAUUCCCCCCGCAAGUCUGGUGCCAGCAGCCGCGGUAAUUCCAGCUCCAAUAGCGUAUAUUAAAGUUGUUGCGGUUAAAACGCUCGUAGUUGAAUCUGCGGCCUGGGAGAACGGACCCCCGAAAGGGCGGAAACUGUUACUCCUAGCCUAAAUUUUUAGUCUACUCUACGGUGCCUUUAAUCGGGUGCUUAGAGUGACUGGAACGUUUACUUUUGAAAAAUUAGAGUGCUUAAAGCAGGCAAAUUUGCUUGAAUAAGGUGCAUGGAAUAAUGGAAUAGAACCUCGGUUCUAUUUUGUUGGUUUUCGGAGCCUGAGGUAAUGAUUAAGAGGAACAGACGGGGGCAUUCGUAUUCCGGCGCUAGAGGUGAAAUUCUUGGACCGCCGGAAGACGGACGACUGCGAAAGCAUUUGCCAAGAAUGUUUUCAUUAAUCAAGAACGAAAGUUAGAGGUUCGAAGGCGAUCAGAUACCGCCCUAGUUCUAACCGUAAACGAUGACAACCAGCGAUUAGUCGGCGUUAAUAUAUGACCCGACUAGCAGCUUCCGGGAAACCAAAGUUUUUCGUUUCCGGGGGAAGUAUGGUUGCAAAGCUGAAACUUAAAGGAAUUGACGGAAGGGCACCACCAGGAGUGGAGCCUGCGGCUUAAUUUGACUCAACACGGGAAAACUCACCCGGCCCGGACACCGUAAGGAUUGACAGAUUGAGAGCUCUUUCUUAAUUCGGUGGGUGGUGGUGCAUGGCCGUUCUUAGUUGGUGGAGCGAUUUGUCUGGUUAAUUCCGAUAACGAACGAGACUCUGGCCUAUUAAAUAGCUGGUAUAUAUUGAAAAGUUUACCACGCUUCUUAGAGGGACAACCGGCUUCUAGCCGCGUGAAAUAGAGCAAUAACAGGUCUGUGAUGCCCUUAGAUGUCCGGGGCUGCACGCGCGCUACACUGAAAGAAUCAGUAUGCGCUUUUCGCCUAGUUCGGAAGAACCGGGUAACCCUAGCAAAUUCUUUCGUGCUUGGGAUAGGGAAUUGCAAUUAUUUCCCUUGAACGAGGAAUUCCCAGUAAAUGCGGGUCAUAAGCUCGCGUUGAUUACGUCCCUGCCCUUUGUACACACCGCCCGUCGCUACUACCGAUUGGAUGACUUAGUGAGGUCUUAGGACCGAGGUAAUGGAGCUUUUAUUAGUUCUUUUGGUUUGGAAAUUUGAUCGAACUACGUUAUCUAGAGGAAGUAAAAGUCGUAACAAGGUUUCCGUAGGUGAACCUGCAGAAGGAUCAUUAACGAGCUAAAAUAUUUCUAAAGUAACCCGAUUUCGAGAGAUACGUAUCUCUUUAUCUCUCGCUGGUGAACAUAUAUUUAUAUCCCAAACCCCCGGGGGGAAAAAGGGGGGGCGCUUAAUAUCCGGGCAAACUCCCCCCCCCGGGGGGAGAGGGGGACCAGAGAGGGUUCAGAAUCUUUCCCCCCGAUCUUGAGAAUAUUUAUUUUUUUUGAGAGGGGGAAAGGGAGAACCGAGGGAGAGCGACAAUAUGCGCGCGUGGGAAAAGACGCCCUUAUACUCCCCAUUUUUAUUACGAGACCCCGCGCGGUGUUUGUUGUGUUUUUGGGCCCCCCUCUCCCCGGAAAAUGGCGCGCGUCUCGGGGGUGUGCGCGGUUUCUCGCCCACAACAGAGAGAGAGAAAAGGGGGGGCUUAACCCCCCUCGCCCCUUCCGCUUUUUUUUAAAAAAAGGAGAACUCUUUUAAAAAAAAGAGAGUUUUUUCUCUAUUGGGGGGGACACUCUCACACUCGCAAAUUUUUGUGCAAGAGAGAGUACUUUGUGGAAGAAAAAAGCGCCCACAAUGAUAUAUAAGACUCUCUCGCCUCGCGUGAGUCUCCUCUGUGGACAUCUAGGCGGCUGCUGUAUACUAUACAUUUCUCUGUGGGUGAAGAGACACGCGACAGCUGUGGAACCCAAUAUUACUUUUUUCCUCUCCUGUAAAAAGACUGAGAGAGGGAAAGGAAGAGUAUAGAGAGAGUGUGUGAGUAUCGUAUGAAUCGUGGUGUGAUAUCUCGUAGAGGAAACAUUAUGACCGAAGUCACUGUAGAGACUGUGGAAUAUUAUUAAUAUCUGAUUCCUACGGUUGGAUGUUAUAGCAAAUCU
RNAcentral lists this ribosomal RNA (2537 nucleotides) under Longidorus paralongicaudatus. RNAcentral's name for it is "SSU rRNA". The stretch from base 1 to 1678 matches the Rfam family "Eukaryotic small subunit ribosomal RNA". Lineage: Eukaryota; Metazoa; Nematoda; Enoplea; Dorylaimida; Longidoridae. The record is from RNAcentral.